GAUGAAGAACGUAGCGAAAUGCGAUAAGUAAUGCGAAUUGCAGAUCUCCGUGAGUCAUUGAAUCUUUGAACGCACAUUGCGCCCUCGUGUAUUCCCGAGGGCAUGCCUGUCCGAGCGUCAUUAUCCAACCAUCAAGCUCGGCUUGCGGUUGAGCCCCGCACCGUCCCCGGGACGGUGGGCUCGAAACAUGUUGGGCGCCCGUGAGGUUGUCGGUGCAGCGAGCUCUCGAGCACGUGUCGGGCAACCGCUCUGGGCGUCGGCCAGCCCCCCCAUUUUCUCAGGUUGACCUCGGAUCAGGUAGGAAUACCCGCUGAACUUAAGCAUAUCAAUAAGCGGAGGA
RNAcentral lists this unclassified non-coding RNA (340 nucleotides) under soil metagenome. RNAcentral's name for it is "partial contains 5.8S ribosomal RNA, internal transcribed spacer 2, and large subunit ribosomal RNA". The stretch from base 1 to 120 matches the Rfam family "5.8S ribosomal RNA", at positions 35 to 154 of the family's 154-position model. The record is from RNAcentral.